Molecule: ribosomal RNA, 521 nt
Filed under: uncultured bacterium
Lineage: Bacteria
Description: bacterial SSU rRNA
Rfam family: Bacterial small subunit ribosomal RNA
Source: RNAcentral
AGAGUUUGAUCAUGGCUCAGGAUGAACGCUAGCGGCAGGCCUAAUACAUGCAAGUCGAACGAAGAACGCCGGCUUGCCGGCGGGAUUAGUGGCGCACGGGUGCGUAACGCGUGAGCAACCUGCCCAUAUCAGGGGGAUAGCCCGGAGAAAUCCGGAUUAACACCGCAUGACAUCGCCUUUUCGCAUGAAUUGGCGAUCAAAUAUUCAUAGGAUAUGGAUGGGCUCGCGUGGCAUUAGCUAGUUGGCAGGGUAACGGCCUACCAAGGCAGCGAUGCCUAGGGGCUCUGAGAGGAGAAUCCCCCACACUGGGACUGAGACACGGCCCAGACUCCUACGGGAGGCAGCAGUAAGGAAUAUUGGUCAAUGGGCGGAAGCCUGAACCAGCCAUGCCGCGUGCAGGAAGACUGCCCUAUGGGUUGUAAACUGCUUUUACACGGGAAUAACCGCCGCUACGCGUAGCGGCCUGAACGUACCGUGGGAAUAAGGAUCGGCUAACUCCGUGCCAGCCGCCGCGGUAAUAC